UACCGGCGGCUCGAGUGGUGGCCACUAUUACUGGGCUUAAAGCGUCCGUAGCUUGGUUGUUAAGUCUCCUGGGAAAUCCAUCGGCUCAACCGAUGGGCGUUCAGGAGAUACUGGCAACCUAGGGACCGGGAGAGGUGAGAGGUACUCCAGGGGUAGGAGUGAAAUCCUGUAAUCCUUGGGGGACCACCUGUGGCGAAGGCGUCUCACUAGAACGGCUCCGACAGUGAGGGACGAAAGCUGGGGGAGCAAA
RNAcentral lists this ribosomal RNA (250 nucleotides) under uncultured bacterium. RNAcentral's name for it is "partial 16S ribosomal RNA". It matches the Rfam family "Archaeal small subunit ribosomal RNA", at positions 474 to 723 of the family's 1478-position model. RNAcentral also lists the same sequence under 1 other name. The record is from RNAcentral.